ACGAACGCUGGCGGCAAGCCUAACACAUGCAAGUCGAACGCGUGUAGCAAUACACGAGUGGCGGACGGGUGAGAAACGCGUGGGAACGUACCCAGCAGUACGGGAUAACCGCGGGAAACUGCGGCUAAUACCGAAUACGCCCUUCGGGGGAAAGAUUUAUCGCUGUUGGAUCGGCCCGCGUCCGAUUAGCUAGUUGGUGGGGUAACGGCCUACCAAGGCAAUGAUCGGUAGCUGGUCUGAGAGGACGAUCAGCCACACUGGGACUGAGACACGGCCCAGACUCCUACGGGAGGCAGCAGUGGGGAGUAUUGGACAAUGGGGGCAACCCUGAUCCAGCUAUGCCGCGUGGGUGAUGAAGGCCUUCGGGUUGUAAAGCCCUUUUGGCGGGGACGAUAAUGACGGUACCCGCAGAAUAAGCCCCGGCUAACUUCGU
RNAcentral lists this ribosomal RNA (433 nucleotides) under uncultured bacterium. Its description in RNAcentral is "bacterial SSU rRNA". It matches the Rfam family "Bacterial small subunit ribosomal RNA", at positions 29 to 506 of the family's 1533-position model. The record is from RNAcentral.